This is a long non-coding RNA of Thalassophryne amazonica, 336 nucleotides long. RefSeq lists it as uncharacterized. The record is from RefSeq and is a predicted model, not a curated record. The transcript has 2 exons. Lineage: Eukaryota; Metazoa; Chordata; Actinopteri; Batrachoidiformes; Batrachoididae.
UGAAAAUAAAAUCUUAUUCAAGGCAAACAAACACAAGAUCGAAGACAGUUCUGUGUAGCUCAUGGAAGUUUACUUCAUGUGGAGAAAUCUCUUACCUUGAAGUUGUGCCUUUAGUCACAUUUUGUCAUAAAUGUGUUUGGAACACUGAAAAUAAAUGUGUAUAUUAUAUAUAUAUCACUGAUGACCGAGAAGCAGAUUAUGCGGCACAAUUUGAUGCUUUGUGAAAAAUAGUCACUGUAGUGAUCCAUGGUAACCUAGGUUUAGAUCCACUGAAGGUUUUCUAACAUUUGGGUAAUAUUCAUUGGUUAAUAAUGGAUCAGACACGUGUGAGAGAAU